GAGAGUUAAAUAGUACGUGAAAUUGUUGAAAGGGAAACGAUUGAAGUCAGUCAUGCUAGUGAAAAAUCAGUUUGACGGGUUUUGAGUUCGGGAGUAGAGGCAGGGUCAAACCGUUUCUCUUUUGGACUUGGGAUUUGUCGGAUGUACUUUUUCUUUGGCAGGUCAGCGUCGGUUUCGGAGGUUGUAAAAUACUUGGGGGAAAGUAGCUCUGCUUCGGGAGAGUAUUAUAGACCCUGGGGGAUGCAGCCUGUGGGAUCGAGGAUUGCAGCAAAUGCCUUUGGCUUGUCGCCUGAUCUCUGGAUGUUACCUCUCUUGUGACAACAUUCUUGCCACCGGGGAGUACUGAUGCCCAUUAGGUUAGAACGAUCAAAAAUUUGCUAAGGAUGCUGACGUAAUGGCUUUAAACGA
Molecule: ribosomal RNA, 408 nt
Filed under: uncultured Diversispora
Lineage: Eukaryota; Fungi; Glomeromycota; Glomeromycetes; Diversisporales; Diversisporaceae
Description: partial 28S ribosomal RNA
Source: RNAcentral